This is a long non-coding RNA of Mauremys mutica (yellowpond turtle), 3867 nucleotides long. RefSeq lists it as uncharacterized. The record is from RefSeq and is a predicted model, not a curated record. The transcript has 3 exons. Lineage: Eukaryota; Metazoa; Chordata; Testudines; Geoemydidae.
GAUGCGGUUUGUAUAUGGCAGAAAGCACUUCUCACCAUGUGAUUCUGUGAUGCUUACUGCCUGAAAGGGUACCAGGUGGUGAUUUUCAAUGGAUCCUCAAAGCAGCAGUCAGAUAACUGACACUGACAGGCUGAUAGUACCUUUCUUCUAUCUGACUCAUGUAAUAUACCCACUGCUUCCAGAGAUACAUGAAGCAACCAUGGAAGAGAAGAUAAUACAUUUAGGUAGAGUAUUAUAAAGCGCACACACAUACUGUUUAUAAAUGAAAACAACUCUGGGGAGUGACACUUCCUGGAAGUCAGAAGGCAGCCUACACAAUCAAUCAUACUUCCUGUUUUUAUUACCCUGGGCAUCCUGUCAGCUCUGGGACCCCCUCUCAUGGUUCAAGUACUGCCUCCUCCCCCAUCCUCCCAGAGGCUAUGCCUGCCCAGACACCAUCUUUCCUCCUACUGAUGGCAAGGAGCUUUUCAUCUGACACUGUUCCAGUGUAAAGCUAAGAGUUAAACUAAGCUUGUUCUUGGAGUCUUUAUUCUGAACACUGAGGCACAGGGAAAGACCUGGAGCAUGAAUUGCACAAUAUGAUUAAUUUAGAGCACUUCUCGUUCAUUUCCUGUUGCAUUUUAGAGAAACUAACCUGAUGUCUUUCAGUUCUCAGGUGAGAAUCUCACCAGCUGGAUGCAUGAGCUCACCAUUGGCUUCAGGCAUUCAAGACACAGAUGAGUGCCGAGGAGGCAUUGCUAGAUUUGAGGUGCUUUUUGGCAACCAAUCCAAUAAGAUACUAGAAGUCUUCAAUAAUCUCUCCCUCCUCUCAUAUGCUCUAGAAUUAAGCUAUUUGCUUUGGCACCUUUGAGAUUUACUAUCCACAGCCUUUGGGUAGUGGCAGAUGCUAGCAUUCCUGUGGCUGGGUGUAGUUUCCACAGUUGGAGUGAAGAUUCAGGCUGGGUUUUGUUUCAUUCACAAAAAGAACUCCAUAAAGCCAAACUCCAUGCCAGGAGUACAUUGUGGGCAGCUACUGCUUGGACUUUACAGCAAGGAAAAGCUACCUGCUCACAUGGGGUUUAACUAAAGUUCUCUAGCUUGUUUCAUGUGUAAGCAUCCUCCAAGCUUGUAGGAACCUACAGUAAAAGUUGAAAGUGGAAUGAUGCAAAAGCUAUUACAAUUGUAGUCCCAAGGUACAUUCUCUCACCAUGCAGGUGAAAAAAGGCUGAGGAACAGGCUAAAAAAAGGACAGUCCCAGCAUGAACUAUAAACUGUCAGGCUCUACACUCAAGUAGCGUAAGAUUAUCUUUCCCUGGCUAUUUAUACACUGAACUGCUUCCUGUCUUGCCAUGCUCUCAAAAACCAUACUAUUUAAGAGAAACUACUAGACACUAGUCCCAGCUCCAGGAGACAACACAGCACAUUCCAGACCUCAGACCAAUGUAGCUUUCAUUCCCUGUUUUAGACGUCAGAACCCAUUUUCCGCCACCUACCACUGGUCAUGUGGGACACUUUUGCAAGCUUCUUCAUAACAUUAUCGAGACGUGACUGAGUGUUGUCUAACUCAUGAGAGAAGUCAUCCAACAUCCUGGGGACAAAGAAGAGGGGGAGCUGUGUCAGGAAAGUUACUAAAACCUGUCCGGAGCUGUUUCAUCACUGUCAAGAAUCCAUUUUGAGAGAGAGGUACAUCCAGGAUAAACUUAUCACUUAUUCUUGAACAGCAGCAGAUUGCUGUAGUUGCUGGCCCUUAAACAGGAGAAUGGAUGGAAUGGUGGGGUCACACAGUUCUGUGACUGCUGCAAUUGGACAGCUGGAGAGAAGGAACAAAUAUGAAGAAAAGUGCACUGAGAGCAGCUGGACCCACUUGGUCAGGAGAGAGAAGAGGACCAGGCACUGAAAGAAGAUUAACAGGUGGCAGAUAAUGUGUGAGCCUGGAACAGAAGGUCAGGGAAGGGGAAAAACAGAAGACAAGCAGUAAGCCAACAGAGAAUAAACACUGUCCCCAAAAAGGUUGAGUACAUUGCUGGUUCUCUCCAGUGACUAAGAAAUUAGUUCUGGCUAGGACUUCCAGGUUCAGGGGUGGCAAUCCUAGUGUUAUUUAACAUGGUAUGAGAGUUAAGUGAACUUGCAACCUUAUACCUAUAUUCCAGAUUGUCAAAUAACUUUUUCUAAUAAGGCAGCAUUCAAGAGAACUCACUUACAGCAUGAUGCUAAUAUCUCAGUGGUGACCUGCUACUGGUCACUGCUGUCAUAACUUACAUAGCAAGUUUUAUGGAGGACCAAAAAGCCCUUUACUUACAGGCAUGUGCUUUGACCACAUCCUUUACACCAACUCUUUCCUGACUCUUCUUAGAAUGAAGCUUUGCUAUGUUUACGUAGUCAAAUACAUAUUGCUAAACAUAGGAUUAGAAGCCAUGAAUGCUAGAAUUACAGUCCUAGAUCAGAGACUCACAACCCCUCCGGCUUCAGAUUCCUCCUCUGAGAAAUGGGGAUAUUUUUCUCCCUCCUAGGAGCAAUGCAAGACUGGAUGGUGUAUAAGCAGUUUGAGGCAAAAACCACUUAGUAACUUAUUACCUUGUGUGAAAGGUUUGGAAAGCAACCAGAGCAAACUGUGCCCGCAAGAAUAAGUGUUUUAACUGAUUACUAGCCACAAAAAGAUGACAGGCUGCAAAAUGGAUGCUUUUCUAGUUUAAGAUAGAUUUGUUUUUUGUAAACAAAGCUUCUAGUGGAAACAGGAUAACAAGAUGGAUGCUGGCAGUCAGGUGUUUAAACUGGCAUUUAUUUUGUUUAAUACCAAUGUACUCUACCUUAAGGUACAUGAGCCCCUUAGCCAAGUCAGUGUACUUUCAUCUAACAUGUAGCUUAAGUCAGCAGCUACUAUACUUGAACUAUAAGGAGUUAUCAACCAUCUUGAAGGAUUCUUGUGUCCACUUUAGCCAGCAGUCUGCUAUUGGUUCUCACCUUCCUGUUUUUUCUUUCAGACAGUGCCUGCACAGAUGAAUUUGACAUCUGAUCCUUCAUUUCCUGUUUAUUCAAGAAAAAGAUAUGAUCAAAUUUUAAAUUGCCAAUUUGCUAAAAUAAUGGCUUAAUUAAACAUACAUAGCAAGUUUUAUGGAGGACCAAAAACCCCUUUACUUACAGGCAUGUGCUUUAAAAAAUCCUGGAAGACUAAAGUAACAUUACAAUUCACAGUUGCCCUAAUGCUAAGGAAAAUUUUAAUGAAGCCUAGAAACCCUUGGGGCAGAAUAUUUUGAAAAGGUUAGUGAUUUACUACUGGCUUUGCUCCUCCCCAUUCUCCACUGCUGAAACAAUGCUUGAUUUGUGUAGCUGAUUGAAAAAAAUAUUCUCUCUUAAGUGGUGUGUAUGAAGGACUGUGUUCUAGCUGUUGGAAGUUAGAUCUCCUGCAUUUCCUCCCCCCUCCCCCCAAGUGCCACUUUGGACAAGCCACUUUUUGUGCUUGAAUUUCUCCUCUAUAAAAUGGGUAUCAUUCUUUAAGUCACUAUACAAGUACAUGGAAGUCGUCUUUAACCAAUGAGCACUUUGAGCUCCUUAGAUGAAAGCCACUAUGAUAGCAGAUGACUUUGAAGUCUAGAAGAUACAUUUGGAACAGUCUAUACUGAAAGUGAGACCCCCCUGCUACCACAAAUAUAUAAAAGUGAAGUAGUGGCCAAAUAUGAUAACUAAAGUGGAUGAUAAUCUCAAGACUGGCACAAAUGUCCGAUAUCACCAGAAUACCCAUUGCAUUCUUGCUCCAGACAGCGACUGAUAAAAGCCACAUAAGAUAUCCCAAAUAUACUGGGACCUCCCCAAAGAAUUACUUUUCACAAGGGAGCAUUCUAGUAAAUCUGUUAGAAAUGCUAACUAAAGCUGUAGAGUCAACUAUGUAAA